GCAAGUCGAACGGCAGCGCGGGGAGCUUGCUCCCUGGCGGCGAGUGGCGGACGGGUGAGUAACGCGUAGGAAUCUGCCCAGUAGUGGGGGACAACCCGGGGAAACCCGGGCUAAUACCGCAUACGCCCUACGGGGGAAAGCGGGGGAUCUUCGGACCUCGCGCUAUCGGAUGAGCCUGCGUCGGAUUAGCUUGUUGGUGAGGUAAUGGCUCACCAAGGCGACGAUCCGUAGCUGGUCUGAGAGGACGAUC
RNAcentral lists this ribosomal RNA (250 nucleotides) under uncultured bacterium. RNAcentral's name for it is "partial 16S ribosomal RNA". It matches the Rfam family "Bacterial small subunit ribosomal RNA", at positions 57 to 305 of the family's 1533-position model. The record is from RNAcentral.